Ipomoea nil (Japanese morning glory) is the source of this 605-nucleotide long non-coding RNA. RefSeq lists it as uncharacterized. NCBI's taxonomy places the organism in Eukaryota, Viridiplantae, Streptophyta, Magnoliopsida, Solanales, Convolvulaceae. The record is from RefSeq and is a predicted model, not a curated record. The transcript has 2 exons.
UAAAAGAACUUAAAUUUCAAGCUUCCUAUUAAUGGAACAAAAAUUGAAGUUAUACGGCGCUAUGAUCGUGUUAUUGGUGCUCUUGUCUUUUACUGAGUUGAGUCCAAAAAUGGUCGGAGGAAUCGAGCCUAGCAUUGCCAUGAAAUGCAUUGGCAAGUUUACGACCCCUACUCAAUGUGACACCACUUGCAAGAAACAAGGCUUUGUUAAAGGUGGUAAGAGCAAACUCGAACCAGGGAAAUGCUGUUGCACCAAGCCGGCGACUGCCAAAUAUAAUUAAAAAUAAAAGAAAAUAAUAUUAUGCAUUUUAAAAAUAUCAUGAUUUAAAGAUUGUCAGCAACGUAUUAUAUGAUUUUUAUGAGAGUCGAAUGUUUUUUUUUUUUUUAAAUAAAGAUAAAGAAGCUAAUUCAUUAAUCAUAGGCUGAAAUAUUUACAAUAAAGAUCGAUGCAAUGGUUAAACAUUCCUUAUAGUCAGACAUAGAAACAACUUUCGUAGCAAUGCUAAAGAAAAUUUGAUUCGCAGACUGUUUCACAAAUUUGAAGCUGGAUUCUUUAGAACUUAAAGCUUCUUUAAUGAUUUGAUCAAAUGUACCCAAAACUGACAA